GUCUAUGGCCAUGCCACCCUGAACAAGCCCGAUGUCUGAUCUCAGAAGCUAAGCAGGGUUGGACCUGGUUAGUACUUGGAUGGGAGACCACCUAGGAAGACCAGGUGCUGCAUGUG
This 116-nucleotide ribosomal RNA is filed under the name Pteropus alecto (black flying fox). Lineage: Eukaryota; Metazoa; Chordata; Mammalia; Chiroptera; Pteropodidae. The record is from RNAcentral.